Trichonephila clavipes is the source of this 72-nucleotide non-coding RNA. Lineage: Eukaryota; Metazoa; Arthropoda; Arachnida; Araneae; Nephilidae. The record is from the annotation of a GenBank genome assembly.
GUCAGGAUGGCCGAGCCGUCUUCAGGUCGCAGUCCACUUCUGUGGGCGUGGGUUCGAGUCCCACUUCUGACA